RNAcentral lists this small nuclear RNA (160 nucleotides) under Capsicum annuum. RNAcentral's name for it is "U1 spliceosomal RNA". It matches the Rfam family "U1 spliceosomal RNA". Rfam says of the family: U1 is a small nuclear RNA (snRNA) component of the spliceosome (involved in pre-mRNA splicing). Its 5' end forms complementary base pairs with the 5' splice junction, thus defining the 5' donor site of an intron. The record is from Rfam by way of RNAcentral. Lineage: Eukaryota; Viridiplantae; Streptophyta; Magnoliopsida; Solanales; Solanaceae.
AUACUUACCUGGACGGGGUCAAUGGGCGAUCGAUAAGACCCAUGGCCUAGGCUUGUGACCUCCAUUGCACUUGGGAGGGGUGCCGGCCUAAGGUCGGCCCAAGUGGCCGAGCCUACGUCAUAAUUUGUGGUAGAGGGGGCCUAUGUUCGCGCGGCCCCUA